GCUGGCGGUGCGCCUUAUGCAUGCAAGUCGAGCGAAGCUUUUCAGUAGUUUACUACAGAAAAUGACUGAGCGGCGAACGGGUGAGUAACGCGUGAGCAAUCUACCUUAGUUACAGGGAUAGCCCGAGGAAACUCGGAUUAAUACCUGAUAUUCUUUACAUUUCGCAUGAAAUUAAAAGGAAAGGUCAGCCGAACUAAGAUGAGCUCGCGUUCUAUCAGCUAGUUGGUGAGGUAAAAGCUCACCAAGGCAACGACGGAUAGCUGGUCUGAGAGGACGAUCAGCCACACUGGGACUGAGACACGGCCCAGACUCCUACGGGAGGCUGCAGCAGGGAAUAUUGUGCAAUGAACGAAAGUUUGACACAGCGACACCGCGUGUGGGAUGACGGAUCUAGGUUUGUAAACCACUUUCAGGAGGGAAGAAAAUGACGGUACCUCCACAAGAAGCCCCGGCCAACUACGUGCCAGCAGCCGCGGUAAUACGUAGGGGGCGAGCGUUGUCCGGAUUUAUUGGGCGUAAAGAGCUCGUAGGCGGUUCAACAAGUCGGUCGUAAAAGUUCAGGGCUCAACCCUGAAAUGUCGAUCGAUACUGUUGUGACUAGGAUACGGUAGAGGUGAGUGGAAUUCCGAGUGUAGCGGUGAAAUGCGUAGAUAUUCGGAGGAACACCAAUUGCGAAGGCAGCUCACUGGGCCGCUAUCGACGCUGAG
This 707-nucleotide ribosomal RNA is filed under the name uncultured bacterium. Its description in RNAcentral is "bacterial SSU rRNA". It matches the Rfam family "Bacterial small subunit ribosomal RNA", at positions 35 to 750 of the family's 1533-position model. The record is from RNAcentral.